This 71-nucleotide transfer RNA is filed under the name Elusimicrobia bacterium CG1_02_37_114. Its description in RNAcentral is "tRNA-Ala". It matches the Rfam family "tRNA". Rfam says of the family: Transfer RNA (tRNA) molecules are approximately 80 nucleotides in length. Their secondary structure includes four short double-helical elements and three loops (D, anti-codon, and T loops). Lineage: Bacteria; Pseudomonadati; Elusimicrobiota. RNAcentral also lists the same sequence under 2 other names. The record is from RNAcentral.
GGGGACAUAGUUGAACGGGACAACGCUGCGUUCGCAACGCAGAGGUCCGGGUUCGAUUCCCGGUGUCUCCA